Molecule: ribosomal RNA, 446 nt
Filed under: uncultured bacterium
Lineage: Bacteria
Description: partial 16S ribosomal RNA
Rfam family: Bacterial small subunit ribosomal RNA
Source: RNAcentral
CCUACGGGCGGCAGCAGUCGAGAAUUAUUCACAAUGGGGGAAACCCUGAUGGUGCGACGCCGCGUGAGGGAAUGAAGGUCUUCGGAUUGUAAACCCCUGUCAUGUGGGAGCAAAUUAAAAAGAUAGUACCACAAGAGGAAGAGACGGCUAACUCUGUGCCAGCAGCCGCGGUAAUACAGAGGUCUCAAGCGUUGUUCGGAAUCACUGGGCGUAAGGCGUGCGUAGGCUGUUUCGUAAGUCGUGUGUGAAAGGCGCGGGCUCAACCCGCGGACGGCACAUGAUACUGCGAGACUAGAGUAAUGGAGGGGGAACCGGAAUUCUCGGUGUAGCAGUGAAAUGCGUAGAUAUCGAGAGGAACACUCGUGGCGAAGGCGGGUUCCUGGACAUUAACUGACGCUGAGGCACGAAGGCCAGGGGAGCGAAAGGGAUUAGAUACCCCAGUAGUC